AGAUGUGAGGGCGAUCUGGCUGCAACAUCUGUUACCCCAUUGAUCACCAGGGUUGAUUUGGCUGAUCUGGCUGGCUAGGCGGGUGUCCCCUUCCUCCCUCACCUCUCUAUGUGCAUCCCUCCCAAAGCUGCUUGGUUGAAGAGGACUACCUUCCCCAAAUAGAGACAGACCGGUCUUUAGUCGAGGGUAUAUGAGUAGCUGCGUUCCUCUGCUAGAACCUCCAAAAACAAGCUCUCAAAAGUAAGAAAAACAGGGAGUCGGGCGGUAGCGCAGUGGGUUAAGCGCAUGUGGUGCAAAGCGCAGUGGGUUAAGCUCAUGUGGUGCAAAGCC
Molecule: non-coding RNA, 330 nt
Organism: Erinaceus europaeus (western European hedgehog)
Lineage: Eukaryota; Metazoa; Chordata; Mammalia; Eulipotyphla; Erinaceidae
Source: Rfam